Molecule: transfer RNA, 71 nt
Filed under: Camelus bactrianus (Bactrian camel)
Lineage: Eukaryota; Metazoa; Chordata; Mammalia; Artiodactyla; Camelidae
Also listed under: 2 other names
Rfam family: tRNA
About the family: Transfer RNA (tRNA) molecules are approximately 80 nucleotides in length. Their secondary structure includes four short double-helical elements and three loops (D, anti-codon, and T loops).
Source: Rfam by way of RNAcentral
GAGAGUAUAGCUCAGUGGUAGAGCCCAUGCUUAGCAUGCACAGGUUCUGGGUUCAAUCCCCAGUACCUCCA